UGCUCAAGCACUCGCUGCAGCGGCAAGAAAAAAAGAGACAAUCCACAGAAAUUUCAUCGCUUGCGCUCUUCGUAAACUAUCGUGCUGUAACGUCAACAGGGGCCAGACUUCUCGACUGAAGAUGCGUGUUGUGUGUUUUGCAGGUCUCUUUUUUGGUGCAUCUUUUUUUUGCCACGAUCUCGAAAUUUUUCCAUCGUGCGUGCACGCAGUCGCAACUUUACCGUAGCUGCGCUGCUGCCGGCUGCCCGUUUGCCCUUUCUUUUCCGACUUCCCACAGAACAAGAGUAAUUUACGAUCUUUCUGACCAGCUAGCUAGCCGUCUUGCGAUUGUGGCACCGACGACGCACACCCACGGACACUGACACAUGUACGCUGAGUGCCGCAGAAGAUCCCUCUCUCUUUCUUGCGCGUUUCUUGUUCGUGGUCUUGCGCCUUUACCGGGUCUGUGAGGGUGUCUACUUGUUUCUUUUCCUCGCUUCGUUUCUCUCUCCUCUUCCGCUGUCCCGUCGCCCCUCUCAG
RNAcentral lists this unclassified non-coding RNA (519 nucleotides) under Leishmania donovani. RNAcentral's name for it is "gene:unknown". The record is from RNAcentral. Lineage: Eukaryota; Euglenozoa; Kinetoplastea; Trypanosomatida; Trypanosomatidae.